This 263-nucleotide long non-coding RNA is filed under the name Physcomitrium patens. Its description in RNAcentral is "long non-coding RNA (PPAT_LNC010550)". The record is from RNAcentral. Lineage: Eukaryota; Viridiplantae; Streptophyta; Bryopsida; Funariales; Funariaceae.
UUGUUUUUUUUUGUUGUCUUUAUUGUUGAAGAGUAAUGGAUAGUUUCUGAAUACUGAGAAGUAAGUCUGUGGAAUGAAUCAGAGAUUGAUUUAUGAGUUAUUGAUUAUGUAAUUGGAAGACUGAGUGAUUGAAUUAUAUGAGAAGUUAUUAGAAGAUUGCUUAUGGAUAGAAGAUUAUGAUUGUAGUUUAUUGAAAGUUGUGUAUGUGUGUUUUGAUAGACGAAGUCUGUGAUUACAGAAUUUCUAUGAAUUCAGAUUGUUUG